AACGAACGCUGGCGGCAUGCCUUACACAUGCAAGUCGAACGGCAGCACGGGGGCAACCCUGGUGGCGAGUGGCGAACGGGUGAGUAAUACAUCGGAACGUGCCCCGUAGCGGGGGACAACCAGUCGAAAGACUGGCUAAUACCGCAUACGCUCCACGGAGGAAAGCAGGGGAUCGCAAGACCUUGCACUAUGGGAGCGGCCGAUGCCCGAUUAGCUAGUUGGUGAGGUAAAGGCUCACCAAGGCAACGAUCGGUAGCUGGUCUGAGAGGACGACCAGCCACACUGGGACUGAGACACGGCCCAGACUCCUACGGGAGGCAGCAGUGGGGAAUAUUGGACAAUGGGCGAAAGCCUGAUCCAGCGAUGCCGCGUGUGUGAAGAA
RNAcentral lists this ribosomal RNA (382 nucleotides) under uncultured bacterium. Its description in RNAcentral is "bacterial SSU rRNA". It matches the Rfam family "Bacterial small subunit ribosomal RNA", at positions 29 to 412 of the family's 1533-position model. The record is from RNAcentral.